RNAcentral lists this ribosomal RNA (465 nucleotides) under uncultured bacterium. RNAcentral's name for it is "partial 16S ribosomal RNA". It matches the Rfam family "Bacterial small subunit ribosomal RNA", at positions 28 to 507 of the family's 1533-position model. The record is from RNAcentral.
GACGAACGCUGGCGGCGUGCUUAACACAUGCAAGCCGAACGGAAAGGCCCUGCUUGCUGUUUACUCGAGUGGCGAACGGGUGAAUAACACGUGGGGGAUCCGCCCUCCACUUCUGGGUAAACCUGGGGAACUGGGCCUAAUAAAGGGCAGGGACUAUUUUUAUGGUCAAGGAUGGAAAGCUUUUUCGGUGUAGGAUUAGCUCUCGGCCUGUCCGCUUGUUUGUGGGGUAAUGGCCUACCAAGGCGGCUACUGGUAGACGGCCUGAGAGGGUGGACGGCCACAUUGGGACUGAGAUACGGCCCAGACUCCUACUGGAGGCAGCAGUGGGGAAUAUUGCACAAUGGGCGCAAGCCUGAUGCAGCGACGCCGCGUGGGGGAUGACGGCCUUCGGGUUGUAAACUCCUUUCGCUAGGGACGAAGCUUUUUGUGACGGUACCUAGAUAAGAAGCACCGGCUAACUACGUG